UGGGGAAUAUUGGGGCAAAUGGGACGCAAGUCUGACCCAGCAACGCCGCGUGAAGGAAGAAGGCUUUCGGGUUGUAAACUUCUUUUAAGAGGGAAGAGUAGAAGACGGUACCUCUUGAAUAAGCCACGGCUAACUACGUGCCAGCAGCCGCGGUAAUACGUAUGGAGCAAGCGUUAUCCGGAUUUACUGGGUGUAAAGGGAGUGUAGGCGGCUUUGCAAGUCAGAUGUGAAAGCCCGGGGCUCAACCCCGGGACUGCAUUUGAAACUGUGAAGCUGGAGUGUCGGAGAGGUAAGUGGAAUUCCUAGUGUAGCGGUGAAAUGCGUAGAUAUUAGGAAGAACACCAGUGGCGAAGGCGGCUUACUGGACGAUUACUGACGCUGAGGCUCGAAAGCGU
This 395-nucleotide ribosomal RNA is filed under the name uncultured Lachnospiraceae bacterium. Its description in RNAcentral is "bacterial SSU rRNA". It matches the Rfam family "Bacterial small subunit ribosomal RNA", at positions 355 to 762 of the family's 1533-position model. The record is from RNAcentral. Lineage: Bacteria; Bacillati; Bacillota; Clostridia; Lachnospirales; Lachnospiraceae.